RNAcentral lists this transfer RNA (63 nucleotides) under Stenatkina angustata. Its description in RNAcentral is "tRNA-Tyr". Lineage: Eukaryota; Metazoa; Arthropoda; Insecta; Hemiptera; Cicadellidae. The record is from RNAcentral.
AUUAAGAUGUCUGAUUAAAGUAAUAAACUGUAAAUUUAUUUAAGAAGUUAUUUUCUCUUAAUA